RNAcentral lists this transfer RNA (61 nucleotides) under Petalocephala chlorophana. Its description in RNAcentral is "tRNA-Thr". The record is from RNAcentral. Lineage: Eukaryota; Metazoa; Arthropoda; Insecta; Hemiptera; Cicadellidae.
GUUUUAGUAAUUUAAAAAAAAUAUCAUUUUUGUAAAAUGAAAAUAGGUUGACUUUAAAAUU